GUAUUGUAUUGCGUUAAACGCGUCAUGCAUUCCAUGAGACUUUGUUACAGAGUGUGUGUAAAGACGUAGGACCAUAACAGGAGGACAGAGUCCCCCACGCCACAGAACUACAGAGGGUGCACAGGUGUGAGUGGAUGUGUAAACAGAGCGUGCACAUGCCCCCAUACAGGGACCAGCAACAACUCUUGUUGACAAUUCGGUAAUGAUCCUUCCGCAGGUUCACCUACGGAAA
Molecule: unclassified non-coding RNA, 232 nt
Filed under: uncultured fungus
Lineage: Eukaryota; Fungi
Description: sequence contains ITS1
Source: RNAcentral